Non-coding RNA from Stomoxys calcitrans (stable fly), 72 nucleotides. Lineage: Eukaryota; Metazoa; Arthropoda; Insecta; Diptera; Muscidae. The record is from Rfam.
GCCACCAUAGCGCAUAGGGUAGCAUGUCAGCCUAUGACGCUGAAAGCAUGGGUUCGAAUCCUGUCGAGGACA